GGGCGGUUAGCUCAGUUGGUUAGAGCACUGCGUUGACAUCGCAGGGGUCAGUGGUUCAAAUCCUCUACCGCCCACCA
Molecule: transfer RNA, 77 nt
Filed under: Dehalogenimonas lykanthroporepellens BL-DC-9
Lineage: Bacteria; Bacillati; Chloroflexota; Dehalococcoidia; Dehalococcoidales; Dehalococcoidaceae
Also listed under: 2 other names
Description: tRNA-Val (GAC) (tRNA-Val-GAC-1-1)
Rfam family: tRNA
About the family: Transfer RNA (tRNA) molecules are approximately 80 nucleotides in length. Their secondary structure includes four short double-helical elements and three loops (D, anti-codon, and T loops).
Source: RNAcentral